Molecule: long non-coding RNA, 705 nt
Organism: Carassius carassius (crucian carp)
Lineage: Eukaryota; Metazoa; Chordata; Actinopteri; Cypriniformes; Cyprinidae
Exons: 3
Source: RefSeq, a predicted model, not a curated record
CUUUGUUUUAUUUCUGAUACCAUUAACUGUGUUAUAAUGAAGACUCAAGACUCAAGAAGGACCAAGUGAACUACAUGAAUGGUUGUCUCAAGGAGCAUGGGAUUCUUGUGGAGGGUGACGAGGCUAUUCUGACACUGGCCCUUGUGUGCAUUCGCUUCAGAGACCUUGUGACGGGGGAAGCCUUAAGAAGACAAGCCCAUUUUCUUUGGCUUGACAGAUAUGUAGGUCGAGGAAGAAGAGGGGAACUCGACACCCACCCAGGCUUCUGCAGCGAGUUCUGCCAAAUCUGUGCUGAUCUUCUUUGAGUGUUGUGUGCAUGUAGUGCAAUAGAUGCAAACUCCUCACUUUUCAGUGACAACUCACUUUUUUGAGGUUGAAAUGGGUCACCUACGAGAUUUGCAUGGAUCCAAUGAGAGUGGAUCUUACAAGGAUACUUGUGAUCUAACGUGGGUAAAUAAAGAACUGGUUGUUUCAAUAAGUUGUGCAUAGUAUUUUCUUUACUCUUUACUUCUUUACUUUAAAACUGUCUAAAAAUGUAAUACUUUAUUUAUUUGAGGUCUGAGAUGUGGGAACAGUGAAGAGUGAGAGGUUGGGCAAAUAUUUUCUUACUGAAAAUAGCCGGCAUAGCACGUCAUCUUUUACAACAUAGGAUUUUGACUACAUUUAGUCACAUGCAGUUGUCUAGUAAUGUUCAUGAUCAGUAGA